This is a long non-coding RNA of Peromyscus maniculatus bairdii (prairie deer mouse), 1085 nucleotides long. RefSeq lists it as uncharacterized. The record is from RefSeq and is a predicted model, not a curated record. NCBI's taxonomy places the organism in Eukaryota, Metazoa, Chordata, Mammalia, Rodentia, Cricetidae.
AUCAAACCUAUAAUGCAAAACGAAGUAGAAACAUCAGUUAGACAUCCAUUUGACAGUUUUUGUUAGCUUAGAAGUUUGGCAAUAUGCUUUCCACAGUUCCUGGAUACAAUCCAGCUUCUACUUUUUUUUUUUUUUGACAAUAAAGUCAUGAAAGAAAAGGGGAGUUGACUGCCUCGUCUCCAUCAAUCGCCACAGUUCAUGAAAGAAUUCCAGCGAGAGCCAUGAACGGCAGGGUCUGGACAGGAGGCUUUUAUUUGGUCAUAAAUGACACUGAGAUUCUUCAAGCCCAUUUGCAUUAACAUUCACGGUUUUGAUAAUACAGGUUUCUUCUCAAGAAAGCACAGAAACUUAAGAGAGGAAGGAGAUGCUCUCGACUGCUUUUUCAAGAGUCGCUUCUCAUCUGGUGAGGAAAACAGAUACUGUGACUGGCCCAGAAACAGAACCGAGGAGAGUGUCUGGUGGAGAGGAAAAGGAAGCCCCAUUAGUUUGGACUGUAAAGGAAACAGACCCACUACACAGAGGGAGUACCAGGAACAGGUGGUUUUCACGCACAGCUCUUAGCACAUGCUCUGUCCUCUCCACAGCUCCUUUGCCAAGGAGAUAGUAGACACAGGCCACAAGCAAACAUCCCGGAAUCCAUCUACGCUUCCCCAUUUUCUCUCAAAAAAGUAUCCCACUGGCAAUGGAUACAGAAUAAGAAGAUCUUUAAAAAAAAUUUUGUUUUUAGUUAGCUGUCCUUUUGUGGGUAUGUGCCCUUGUGUGUAGGGGGCCGGUGGAGGCCCUGAGAGAGCAUCCAGUCCCCUGGAGCUGGAGUUACAUGGGACGCUGAGAACUGAACUCGGGGCCUCUGUUGGAGCAGCCAGCAUUGAAAACCAUCUCUUCAGCCCCAGGCUCUGCUUUAAAUCAAAACUGAUUACAUCAUCUCUUCUAGACUGAAGGUGUAGUCACCUCUCUCCAGAAUCCUUAAAACGUAUCUUACUAAAAAAGAGAGCCUGACAUGAAAUCAUUGGAAACGAAUUUUGCAAAAAUAUCCAGGAAAAACUAUCUCCUUUCUCCUUAUAACAGAGACACCCAAAUGUCAACAU